Molecule: long non-coding RNA, 179 nt
Organism: Sapajus apella (tufted capuchin)
Lineage: Eukaryota; Metazoa; Chordata; Mammalia; Primates; Cebidae
Exons: 2
Source: RefSeq, a predicted model, not a curated record
UGUGCCAUGGUGGUUUGCUGCACCUAUCAAUCCGUCAUCUAGGUUUUAAAGCCCACAUGCAUUAGGUAUUUGUCCAAAUGCUGUCUCUUCCCUUGCCUCCCACCCUACGACAGGCCCCAGUGUGUGAUGUUCCCCUCCCUGUGUCCAUAUGUUCUCAUUGUUCAACUCUCACUUAUGAG